AACGAACGCUGGCGGCAUGCCUAACACAUGCAAGUCGAACGAGACCUUCGGGUCUAGUGGCGCACGGGUGCGUAACGCGUGGGAACCUGCCCUUAGGUUCGGAAUAACUCCCCGAAAGGGGUGCUAAUACCGGAUAGUGUCUUCGGACCAAAGAUUUAUCGCCUUUGGAUGGGCCCGCGUUGGAUUAGCUAGUUGGUAGGGUAAAAGCCUACCAAGGCGACGAUCCAUAGCUGGUCUGAGAGGAUGAUCAGCCACACUGGGACUGAGACACGGCCCAGACUCCUACGGGAGGCAGCAGUGGGGAAUAUUGGACAAUGGGCGAAAGCCUGAUCCAGCAAUGCCGCGUGAGUGAUGAAGGCCUUAGGGCUGUAAAGCUCUUUUACCCGGGAUGAUAAUGACAGUACCGGGAGAAUAAGCUCCGGCUAACUCCGUG
This 433-nucleotide ribosomal RNA is filed under the name uncultured bacterium. Its description in RNAcentral is "partial 16S ribosomal RNA". It matches the Rfam family "Bacterial small subunit ribosomal RNA", at positions 29 to 507 of the family's 1533-position model. The record is from RNAcentral.